CUUGAUAAACUUAUAAGAGGUCCAGCCUGCCCAGUGACUCUGUUCAACGGCCGCGGUAUCCUAACCGUGCGAAGGUAGCGUAAUCACUUGUUCUUUAAAUGAGGACUAGUAUGAAUGGCACCACGAAGGUUAUACUGUCUCCUUUUUCUAAUCAGUGAAACUAAUCUUCCCGUGAAGAAGCGGGAAUAAAAAUAUAAGACGAGAAGACCCUAUGGAGCUUUAAACAAAUAUACACCUGCCUUCCCACCAAAAAAAUUUCAGCAAACAAAUAAUUACCCAGGCAUUUUGAUAUAGCGUUUUAGGUUGGGGUGACCACGGAGCAAAAAACAACCUCCGCAACGAACGGGAAAUCUUUCCCUAAACCAAGGGCCACGACCCCAAGUAUCGAUAAAUCGACACUAAUUGACCCAAUAAAUUUGAUCAAUGAAC
RNAcentral lists this ribosomal RNA (429 nucleotides) under Leptodactylus notoaktites group sp. ABGD cluster 61. Its description in RNAcentral is "partial large subunit ribosomal RNA". It matches the Rfam family "Bacterial large subunit ribosomal RNA", at positions 1822 to 2457 of the family's 2925-position model. The record is from RNAcentral. Lineage: Eukaryota; Metazoa; Chordata; Amphibia; Anura; Leptodactylidae.